AGCGAACGCUGGCGGCAGGCCUAACACAUGCAAGUCGAACGGACCCUUCGGGGUUAGUGGCGGACGGGUGAGUAACACGUGGGAACGUGCCUUUAGGUUAGGAAUAGCUCCUGGAAACGGGUGGUAAUGCCGAAUGUGCCCUUCGGGGGAAAGAUUUAUCGCCUUUAGAGCGGCCCGCGUCUGAUUAGCUAGUUGGUGAGGUAACGGCUCACCAAGGCGACGAUCAGUAGCUGGUCUGAGAGGAUGACCAGCCACACUGGGACUGAGACACGGCCCAGACUUCUACGGGAGGCAGCAGUGGGGAAUCUUGCGCAAUGGGCGAAAGCCUGACGCAGCCAUGCCGCGUGAAUGAUGAAGGUCUUAGGAUUGUAAAAUUCUUUCACCGGGGACGAUAAUGACGGUACCCGGAGAAGAAGCCCCGGCUAACUUCGUGCCAGCCGCCGCCGUAA
RNAcentral lists this ribosomal RNA (449 nucleotides) under uncultured bacterium. RNAcentral's name for it is "partial 16S ribosomal RNA". It matches the Rfam family "Bacterial small subunit ribosomal RNA", at positions 29 to 523 of the family's 1533-position model. The record is from RNAcentral.